This 1440-nucleotide long non-coding RNA is filed under the name Chinchilla lanigera (long-tailed chinchilla). RNAcentral's name for it is "lncRNA (ENSCLAG00000022359.1)". The record is from RNAcentral. Lineage: Eukaryota; Metazoa; Chordata; Mammalia; Rodentia; Chinchillidae.
AUGCACUUGACUCACCUGCUCCGGCGCGGUCGCCUCCGGCCUCUGCUGACAGCUGGGGGCUUUGUUUUCCCCACCCACUCGGCCCGCCGCGCUCCGCCCCCGCCGCCGCCCGUGACGCGCCGCCCGCCCCCGCCGCGCCUCCGGGAGUCCGCUCCAGACCCGGCCAGCGCCGCCCCCUCCCGGGGGUGCUGGUGCGAGAAGACCCCCGCGGGGCAAGCGGGCGGCGAGACGCGCCGGCCCCAGGUUAAAAAAUUACCAGAGGGGAAUCCUUUGUGAGAGGAGGAUAGAGCAAGACAAGUACCUGCGGUGUGUAAGUGUUUUCUGCCAGAGGACGUGGGGUUCCUGAUGUGGAGCUUCAGAAGAGUGAUGUCUGGGGAUGAGGUGACAGAGAUGACCGCACACCAUCGUCUCCAAAUGACUACAGGUCUGUGUCCAAAAUACUUAACCGCGUAAAUGCCAGAGACACUCUGCCACAUAAGAUGGUUUUGAUUUGGUUUAGCUGCUAUGCUGGAAAGAGAGUAAAAAGCCAGUGCUGUCGCUAAGAGACAUAGACUAAAAUUAUUAACUGCCAAUUUAAAAAUUAAACCUACAGAACAUUAAUGAAGUGGUGGGAUCCUCAACACCCUCCAGCGCAGUCUGUCGCAGGACCAUAGUUAACCUGCUGGUUCCCAGCCAAGCAGAAACCACCCAAGGACAUCCCUGGACUUGGUCUGCAAAUUUCAAGUUAGACCAUUGCUCUUUCGUUUCAGUAAACAAAUACUUCCGCAGCAACGGGCCUAAAGGGAGAGAUGGCUUGGUUUCAAACCCCAAGAGGAUACUAGCUCUGCUUGCGGAGUGAACGCUGUUGAGUUGUGGCAAGGAAGACUCAGCCCAGGGUCCCAGGGAGCUGGCUGAGAAACACUGAGGCCAUUGUCGUUAGAGGCCACAAAAGCGCUGCUGAAAAACCAAGCUUUAAUAUAAAGCCAAAAAUCUCUGCUUGUCGUGGUGUGUUUAUCUGACAUUCAAGUAUGGCAGUCAUUUUUAGCUCUUGCCGCUGUUUAUGCUUAAAGGGAGACCCACAGCCUUGGAACUUCACUAUCUUCUACAAAGACCAAAAGAGAAAAAGACCUCAGCAGUUUCUAUCCAUGUGCCCCUUGGCUUCCUGUCUAAACCUUUGAGCAGGAGAGACGGUGGACAAUGAAGUCUGGGCUUCUUGACCCCAGAACCUACUAAACCUCCUGGACAGUUCUUUCAUAACCAGACAUACAUUUGUAUUUAACUUGGAGGAGGGAGAAAACAUUUCUGUGUCACUGAGUCAUGGCUUCAUACUUAUAUUUUUAUUUUUUAUUUUUGUGGUUCUUGUUGGGCAGUUUCUGUGAACUGUAAUCAUUGGAGUAUGAUCAUUAUGGAGUUCAUCUGAGCUUCUUGGUGAGUAGUUGCAGAAGCCUUCUGUGCAUAGGA